Molecule: long non-coding RNA, 1121 nt
Organism: Xenopus laevis (African clawed frog)
Lineage: Eukaryota; Metazoa; Chordata; Amphibia; Anura; Pipidae
Exons: 3
Source: RefSeq, a predicted model, not a curated record
CCUGAUUGACAGUAACCAACACAUGGCCACUAACAGGCGCCAGCUUUCCCACGCACCAGUUUCAGCAGCGCAACCACGCACACGCAGCAAGGGAGAAGGACAAGAAUUUCUGCAGGGUAACAUAUAGGCGCUGCUGCUGCUGUAGAAGACGCGAGAAAAUACAUCAAACAAGUGUUGCGGACGGCUUCCCUCGGAGUAGAGGCUCCCCUAACAGACAGCAGCAUCCCCAGACGCCACGCCUAAACAUCUUCUCCCUUGUAGCCUCUGUACUACGCGGCGGAUUCACUCACAAGCACCAUUGCUUUAGGAAUGAACCACCGAGUUUUCCUGCUUAUGGGGAAGUAACUGUCAUGUGAGCGUUUCCUAUAGGCUGGACUCACAUACCAGAACAUGUAUGGCUCCGCCCCUUUACCCCCUCUGCGUCUGACAGAUGGCCGGGUCCACAGUCUUACAAAUUCCCCCUCCCACGUGCUGCUUGAGCUGUGUGCCUGGGUGUAGCAAGCGCAUGGGAAGCAUCCUCCUCAUCAUCUUUGCCUCUAGGUUCUUCCUCACUGAGUCCUCUGCAGCGCCUUCCUGCGUACAUACUACUUGGACUUCCCACUCUCCUACCUUGGACUGGCCAGAGAAAUGCUAUACCUUUUGGCUGCUGGCAAGUUGAUGCUUUAUUUGACGCUUGAGAAUAGAGAAUAUUUGGCACAGUAAACCAUGCAACCAAUCAGUUAUGGUACAGAAACAUAAAACAUGGAACUCGAUAGCUUGCUGGUGUCCAAAGAAAAAGAUAUUCUUUACUGCUUACUCAAGAUGAAUGGCCGGCAAGUAUUAUAUACCCAAACUUACUUCUCCAUUCUUUUAAAAAUGUUAACUAUCAACAUUUAUGGAACCUUUAUGUUAUUCUAAUUUAAAUGUAGAGCAAAAUGGCUAUAUCCAUUUAAUCUGGGAAGUCCUCUGAGCUGCAUUAAUACCAUUCUAAUUACUUACUACCUUUCUAAAGGAGAAUCAAGCUCAAUAAUCAAUACUCAGUGGUCGGAGCUGGUGAUGUUGAUAUUUUACUCUAGUGCUAGUUGGACCUAGUAAAAAUCUAAACAAGGUGUGUUUACGCUAACGCCUUUAGUACAUUAAAG